Molecule: long non-coding RNA, 643 nt
Filed under: Suricata suricatta (meerkat)
Lineage: Eukaryota; Metazoa; Chordata; Mammalia; Carnivora; Herpestidae
Description: lncRNA (ENSSSUG00005006841.1)
Source: RNAcentral
UCAGGAUCAGAGGGAACGGUGGCUCCCCCACACUGACCAUACAUGCCCUGGCCUCUUACCCUGCAGAUUUCCUACCAGCUAAAGAGGGUGAAGACUAAGCGCUGGUGAUCUCUAGGAAACUCUACUGGAGUGUCAGGAUAAGAAAACAGAUGCAAUGAAAGGAAGUGACUUCCUCAUCGUUAACUUCUACUCCAGCCUCUAGCCUCAUUUCGGGGCAGAAGCCUCCAGUCAGGGUUAAUACAUACAGAUGGGAACGAAAAGUGGAACAAUUUAUCACUGUCACUGAUUCCAUAUCCUUGCUGCAUUGAGUCUGAUGUUCAAGAGCCCUCACCAAACAAACAGCCCUACAUCAAAUCACGAAUCGUGCAGGACCAAGACGGAUGUCCUGGUGUGAAUAGCACUUAACAUAAGAUUUGGGUCUUUCGGAUGCUGCCUUUAGCAUUGAGCCCCCACUCAGUGUGGACAGAAAUAACAAGCCCUUUCCCACAGAUGGGAAAUCAAGGGAAGACACCUUCAUGUCCUCGCUUCCAGCCAGGGAGAUCCAGGCAUGUUCAAGAAAAAAGGGAAGGAGCCAGUUAAAUGGCAGGUGAGUCACACUGAAGAUUUAAAGACUCACUGAGCCCAGUCAGUCUAGGAUGCCAGA